This 71-nucleotide transfer RNA is filed under the name Bothus pantherinus (leopard flounder). Its description in RNAcentral is "tRNA-Gln". It matches the Rfam family "tRNA". Rfam says of the family: Transfer RNA (tRNA) molecules are approximately 80 nucleotides in length. Their secondary structure includes four short double-helical elements and three loops (D, anti-codon, and T loops). Further hydrogen bonds mediate the characteristic L-shaped molecular structure. tRNAs have two regions of fundamental functional importance: the anti-codon, which is responsible for specific mRNA codon recognition, and the 3' end, to which the tRNAs corresponding amino acid is attached (by aminoacyl-tRNA synthetases). tRNAs cope with the degeneracy of the genetic code in two manners: having more than one tRNA (with a specific anti-codon) for a particular amino acid; and 'wobble' base-pairing, i.e. permitting non-standard base-pairing at the 3rd anti-codon position. Lineage: Eukaryota; Metazoa; Chordata; Actinopteri; Pleuronectiformes; Bothidae. The record is from RNAcentral.
UAGAGAUUAGUGUAGCGGAAGCACUAAGAGUUUUGAUCUCUUCAGGUUGGGUUCGAACCCCAUAUUUCUAA